UGCUAGAAGGUGAAAGGUUAUAUAUUUAGAUAUGCGCUAGCUACGUAAGUCUAAAAAAUAACGUUGAGCAUAAUGGAAAUUCCCAGAUACGCUCAUCAGCAUAGAACGGCUCUCGAGAAUCCUCUGUUUCUUAUAUAAUCUUUACGUGGACCAAUGCUUUUUGAGAUAAUAAAAUUAGACCAGGUAUAAAUACAGAUCUCUAGUGGCAAAAUAUCAUCGAAUGUCUAGCUGAAUUGAAAGAUACAUAUUUCAGCGAAACGUACUUUCGGUAUUUUAAGGUGUGUUGGAGUGUGAUCUUGGUCAAGAUUUUAAAAGAUGAGGAUGUUUGAAUAUAUAGUGGCUCUAGUGCUAUGUUCAUUGUUUAACAUUGCUUCUGCACAGUCUUUAACUGGCAGUCAACUUGGCGGUAUCCUUGGAGGAAUAAUUGUUGUAGUAAUUGUCAUAAUAGUGAUUGUUCUCGUGAUCAAGCGGGCAAGGUCAUCUGAGAGAAACUACGGAGGUGUGUCUAGAGCCAAGUUUGGGAUGAAAAGGAAUCAAAGCCAUUAGGUCUGGUUCAAAUCUACAUAGUUCACUGUGGGAAACAAUGAAUAAAUGUGUUUGUUUCGUCCAUGGGCGUAGCCAGGAUUUUUU
Molecule: long non-coding RNA, 630 nt
Organism: Biomphalaria glabrata
Lineage: Eukaryota; Metazoa; Mollusca; Gastropoda; Planorbidae
Exons: 3
Source: RefSeq, a predicted model, not a curated record